UACGGGGGGAGCAAGCGUUGUUCGGAUUUACUGGGCGUAAAGGGCGCGUAGGCGGCGCAACAAGUCACUUGUGAAAUCUCCGGGCUUAACCCGGAGCGGCCAAGUGAUACUGUCGUGCUAGAGUGCGGAAGGGGCUACUGGAAUUCUCGGUGUAGCGUGAAAUGCGUAGAUAUCGAGAGGAACACCUGCGGCGAAGGCGGGGUAGCUGGGCCGAC
RNAcentral lists this ribosomal RNA (215 nucleotides) under uncultured bacterium. RNAcentral's name for it is "partial 16S ribosomal RNA". It matches the Rfam family "Bacterial small subunit ribosomal RNA", at positions 524 to 738 of the family's 1533-position model. The record is from RNAcentral.